Molecule: ribosomal RNA, 521 nt
Filed under: uncultured bacterium
Lineage: Bacteria
Description: bacterial SSU rRNA
Rfam family: Bacterial small subunit ribosomal RNA
Source: RNAcentral
CCAGAGAACUUAGCAGAGAUGCUUUGGUGCCUUCGGGAACUCUGAGACAGGUGCUGCAUUGGCUGUCGUCAGCUCGUGUUGUGAAAUGUUGGGUUAAGUCCCGCAAGAGCGCAACCCCUAUCCUUUGUUGCCAGCGAUUCGGUCGGGAACUCAAAGGAGACUGCCGGUGAUAAACCGGAGGAAGGUGGGGAUGACGUCAAGUCAUCAUGGCCCUUACGAGUAGGGCUACACACGUGCUACAAUGGCGCAUACAAAGAGAAGCGACCUCGCGAGAGCAAGCGGACCUCAUAAAGUGCGUCGUAGUCCGGAUUGGAGUCUGCAACUCGACUCCAUGAAGUCGGAAUCGCUAGUAAUCGUAGAUCAGAAUGCUACGGUGAAUACGUUCCCGGGCCUUGUACACACCGCCCGUCACACCAUGGGAGUGGGUUGCAAAAGAAGUAGAUAGCUUAACCUUCGGGAGGGCGUUUACCACUUUGUGAUUCAUGACUGGGGUGAAGUCGUAACAAGGUAGGCGUAGCGAG